RNAcentral lists this ribosomal RNA (471 nucleotides) under uncultured bacterium. RNAcentral describes it as "partial 16S ribosomal RNA". It matches the Rfam family "Bacterial small subunit ribosomal RNA", at positions 29 to 507 of the family's 1533-position model. The record is from RNAcentral.
ACGAACGCUGGCGGCGUGCUUAACACAUGCACGUCGAACGCUGAAGCUUGGUGCUUGCACUGGGUGGAUGAGUGGCGAACGGGUGAGUAAUACGUGAGUAACCUGCCCUUGACUCUGGGAUAAGCCUGGGAAACUGGGUCUAAUACUGGAUACGACAUGUCACCGCAUGGUGGUGUGUGGAAAGGGUUUUACUGGUUUUGGAUGGGCUCACGGCCUAUCAGCUUGUUGGUGGGGUAAUGGCUCACCAAGGCGACGACGGGUAGCCGGCCUGAGAGGGUGACCGGCCACACUGGGACUGAGACACGGCCCAGACUCCUACGGGAGGCAGCAGUGGGGAAUAUUGCACAAUGGGCGGAAGCCUGAUGCAGCGACGCCGCGUGAGGGAUGACGGCCUUCGGGUUGUAAACCUCUUUCAGCACGGAAGAAGCGAAAGUGACGGUACGUGCAGAAGAAGCGCCGGCUAACUACGUG